This 486-nucleotide ribosomal RNA is filed under the name uncultured bacterium. RNAcentral's name for it is "bacterial SSU rRNA". It matches the Rfam family "Bacterial small subunit ribosomal RNA", at positions 15 to 518 of the family's 1533-position model. The record is from RNAcentral.
GAUCAUGGCUCAGGACGAACGCUGGCGGCGUGCCUAACACAUGCAAGUCGAGCGAGGAGAUUCCUUCGGGAUGAUCCUAGCGGCGGACGGGUGAGUAACACGUGGGCAACCUGCCUCAUAGAGAGGAAUAGCCUUCCGAAAGGGAGAUUAAUACCUCAUAACAUUGCAGUUUCGCAUGGAACAGCAAUUAAAGGAGUAAUCCGCUAUGAGAUGGGCCCGCGGCGCAUUAGCUAGUUGGUGAGGUAACGGCUCACCAAGGCGACGAUGCGUAGCCGACCUGAGAGGGUGAUCGGCCACAUUGGGACUGAGACACGGCCCAGACUCCUACGGGAGGCAGCAGUGGGGAAUAUUGCACAAUGGGGGAAACCCUGAUGCAGCAACGCCGCGUGAGUGAUGACGGCCUUCGGGUUGUAAAGCUCUGUCUUCAGGGACGAUAAUGACGGUACCUGAGGAGGAAGCCACGGCUAACUACGUGCCAGCCGCCGC